AUGCUGGUUUGUUCCCAGGUUUUAGCUUCUUGGUGUUGUGGUCUCUUGAUUGACUCUUUGUUUUGCACACACUCAGGUAUUCUGCUCUCCAAACAUUCCUCCCGUGCCAUACUACAUUCAGAUUUAAACCACAGGCCGUGUCUCAUCCUCUCCACGGACCGACCUGCACUUCCUUUGCUCACCCACCUGGAUCAUCUGGACUCUAGCUGUCUAACUCUGAUCUCGCCAACCCCUGGACCCGACCACAGACCUGAUACCCCCUGCUGUCAUUCCCUGUCUCAGCCUUCUGCAUGGCUGAAGAGAAAACGAAGACGCCGGACCCGGAGGCAUCUGGGACCACCACGUCCACCAUGGAUUAUCUGUUCCUGCCCGAGAGUGAUUGUGGAAGAUUGGUGGCCGAAAGUGCGUCUGGGCCAUGGAUUGAAACGUUGGACGAUCCUUGUUACAGUACGGAUCUAGCUUGCUAGGGAAAAUGUAAUGCGUCUGUGUGUGCCUACUGUGCUGCCAACACAUGGACGUAAAUUUUAAAGCGUCCGAACGAGUGCACAGACAGCAGAAACGGUUCUUCUCCAGAUUGCACUUUAAAUGCAGACUCGCCAAUGGUGAGUAUGUCCAACGACAGUGGCUGCUUCACCCUCCAUCUACCGGAGCUGUGUUUUGUCUUGCAUGUCGCAUUUUCAGCGAUGCUAAAAGCAAAUCGUGCUUUGAAACUGGAAACAUGCCAAACACCGGAUGAAAGAGCAUGAAAACAGGGAACUGUUGUUUUGAGACAGCUGAUUUUUUCCAGUUUGUGCAAAACCUUUUUAACUUCCGCUCCACGUCAACAGCGAGGUGGAAGCUAGUGACAGCUGGCCUGCAGCCCAAUGCUAAUAAGCUCUUUGAAACAUUGAAGUCCCUUUCUAACACAAGAUGGGCUGCACAUGCAGAUGCCACAUAUGCAUGAAUUAUGCAAACAUUCAGAAAUCUCUAAAGAAUAUUGUACAUGACUCUAACCACAACGCAGCAACUAGAAAUGAUCGAGGUGACUUGAUAAAAAAAUGGAAACUGCCUUCAUGUGCACUGCGUGGCAGGGAUGUGUAUUUUAGAAAUUCUGGCGAUACGAUACAUAUCACGAUAUAUUGCGGUACAUUCAGUCAGACGUUACAAGCAUUUUUUUUUUUUUUACUGAAUUUACUGUAAGAAUGUUCAAUAAACAGUCCAAACUGAUACGUAACGUGUUUAACAUGAGGUAUCUGAACCAUGAUGGAGGGUUUUACAUUUCAAUGGAGGAAACAAAACCCGCUGCACACUGCUGCCACCUAGCGGGUGGCGAUUGAAUUGCACAAAACGAAAAGAAAAUACACAAAUGUUUGCAUGUAAAUUCUUUCAAGAAUUAGAUACACGGCCUUUGAAUAUCGUUGUAAUAAUCGCAGGAAGAAAUAUCAUGAUAUAUUGCCAUAUUGAUAUUUUCUUACAUCCCUACUGUGUGGCAUUUCAUCCUCCAGCGCUUUGAAAAGGCAAAUGUAGCGUUGCAGGCUGUGGAGCUAGGCUUGUGCAAAGCUGUGGAUUUGGUAAGAUCCUUGAGGGACUACAUUGGAGGUUUGAGAGAUCAGUUUGACAGGUUUGAGUCUCAAGCAGAGGAGUCGUCUCUAAAGACAUACAUAUACAUACAUGUGUGUGUGUGUGUGUGUGUGUGUGUGAGAGAGAGUUUAUUUUUUUAUAUAUCUAUUAAGGCCAGGACUUUAACGUGUAAAUUACAAUUAAUUAAUUAGAAAAAAAUAACGCGUAAAAAAAAUUAACGUAUUUAAUCACAGCUUGCAUUUCAAGCACGGCGGAACCUUUGUAGUUGCACGAUUUCCUCGUAGACUGAAUAUCACUGAAGUACACAACAAUGCACAGUGCUAAUGGCUACUAAAACGGAAUAAAAACAGAAAGAAGUUGCCUUGCCAGACAACAACGGAGUCCGUGUCGCGGGCAUUUUUCAGAGAUCAUCUCUGCUGCGGCUGCCCGGUGACACUGGAAACUUUACAAAAGUUGCGGUAAGCUAUAUUUUUAACAUUUACGUAACAUCUGUGCAGCGCUGAAAGCACCAGACAGAAUAAUUCUGUGCCCUAACAGUAGUUUAUGAAAGUAGUCAGAGAAACGAGAGGCACCUGGCUGCCGCUGGAGGAACGCUCCGUGUUCUCACUACUCUGUAAACAAUCACAAACAACGUGUCUUACAGUGGAAAACAGAAGUUUAAGUUAAAACAGAAACACUCUGAAACUUUUCUGAUGAUUUUCUAAACAAUUCGGUCGGGGAGUUAUACGUUUCUGAGACGAGUCUGUCUAAACAUCACAUGCAUUACUAUCAUUAAGCAGCGAGGUGUUUUGAAGCUGUCAUCAGCUAAGGGACGGAUGCUUAAGUGCAUCAGGAGCAGUGAGGAACGAGGAAGUUGUGAUCAGGCUGGAGAUCACACCAGAUUCGCUGCUGCAGGCGUGAAUCUGCGGGUCUGCAGCAUCCCCUUCUUAACGUGACAUCAGGACUUCCCAUGUAAGGAAGGUCCGCUCACCUGUUCGUCAGAUCAUUAUUUCCUCGCCAUGAUCUUUUAUCUUCCCAUCAACCUCCAGACAUCCAACUGGAACCAGUUAGUGUUCCUGAUCAUUCUCAGAAUAUGCCACGCCCAGGGCCAGAUUAAGACUUUGUUGUACCCUGGGCAACAAUAUUCAAGGGCCCCAUCAUCACGACCCAAGGAUCACCAUAAUAUGGUAACAUACAGAAUAUUUUACUGUAAUAUGCAGUAAAUAUACUCAAUAUUUGAAUGCCUGACUUCACUUAACCCGCUCAGGGUAACCUUUGACCCACCUUGUGUGGACUGACCAAUGAGGAGAGGGUCUUAACUUGAGGCCCUCUCUUCAUUGGUCAGUCUGCAUGAGACUGACUCUCAACUGACGUUCAAAGUCAUAGGCAGCGAAGCGUCUCUGUGCAGCGCAAAAGCCCGGGUGGACAGUUUGUUUAAUAUAGGGUGA
Molecule: long non-coding RNA, 2987 nt
Filed under: Nothobranchius furzeri (turquoise killifish)
Lineage: Eukaryota; Metazoa; Chordata; Actinopteri; Cyprinodontiformes; Nothobranchiidae
Description: lncRNA (ENSNFUG00015025165.1)
Source: RNAcentral